GAUGAAGAACGCAGCGAAAUGCGAUAAGUAAUGUGAAUUGCAGAAUUCAGUGAAUCAUCGAAUCUUUGAACGCACAUUGCGCCCGCUAGUAUUCUGGCGGGCAUGCCUGUCCGAGCGUCAUUUCAACCCUCAAGCCCCCGGGCUUGGUGUUGGGGAUCGGCGAGCCUCCGCGCCCGCCGUCCCCUAAAUCUAGUGGCGGUCUCGCUGUAGCUUCCUCUGCGUAGUAGCACACCUCGCACUGGGAAACAGCGCGGCCACGCCGUUAAACCCCCAACUUCUGAACGUUUGACCUCGGAUCAGGUAGGAAUACCCGCUGAACUUAAGCAUAUCAAUAGCGAGGA
Molecule: unclassified non-coding RNA, 341 nt
Filed under: soil metagenome
Description: partial contains 5.8S ribosomal RNA, internal transcribed spacer 2, and large subunit ribosomal RNA
Rfam family: 5.8S ribosomal RNA (bases 1-120)
Source: RNAcentral